UACGGAGGGUGCAAGCGUUAUCCGGAUUCACUGGGUUUAAAGGGUGCGUAGGUGGGCAGGUAAGUCAGUGGUGAAAUCUCCGGGCUUAACCCGGAAACUGCCGUUGAUACUAUUUGUCUUGAAUAUAGUGGAGGUGAGCGGAAUAUGUCAUGUAGCGGUGAAAUGCUUAGAUAUGACAUAGAACAUCGAUUGCGAAGGCAGCUCGCUACACUAUUAUUGACACUGAGGCACGAAAGCGUGGGGAU
Molecule: ribosomal RNA, 245 nt
Filed under: uncultured bacterium
Lineage: Bacteria
Description: partial 16S ribosomal RNA
Rfam family: Bacterial small subunit ribosomal RNA
Source: RNAcentral